RNAcentral lists this long non-coding RNA (441 nucleotides) under Lepidothrix coronata (blue-crowned manakin). RNAcentral's name for it is "lncRNA (ENSLCOG00000015154.1)". The record is from RNAcentral. Lineage: Eukaryota; Metazoa; Chordata; Aves; Passeriformes; Pipridae.
GUGGUAUUCAAUUUUAUCAACAGGAAUUCAUUUUAAAAAGGGUUUCAUAAAGGCUGAAGUAUUUCUGUCAAAACUAAGAAGAAGGUGGAUAAGUGCAAUGAAGAGAGAUGGGCCAUGAAGGGAGAUUACACCAGCUUUUAGUUUGGUUGCCAAGUUGUCAAUAAAGUCAACAUUGUGAAGAAAUGAAGUUUAAAGUCUGUACAAUGAAGACAAAAUUUCUUGAGAAAUGACAUGUACUACGGUAUUGGAAACUUUAUCUUCCUGUCAAAGCUGAUGCAGUAAAGUCAACUGAACAAGAUAAUAACAUAUCUCUUGUAAAGGUGGAAGCUGCAGAGCUCCCCUUGUUGCUUGUAAUGCAAAGUGAAAUCUGACUGUCUUUUUCAAAGCAGCUAAUCCAAACCAUCUCAAGUGACACAGACCAGAGGGGAAUCCUGGAAAAAC